UACGAGUUGUGCAAACGUUAUUCGGAAUCACUGGGCUUAAAGGGUGCGUAGGCGGCUACGAAAGUCAGGUGUGAAAUCCCUCGGCUCAACCGAGGAACUGCGCUUGAAACUACAUAGCUUGAGGGAGACAGAGGUGAGCGGAACUGAUGGUGGAGCGGUGAAAUGCGUUGAUAUCAUCAGGAACACCGGUGGCGAAAGCGGCUCACUGGGUCUUAUCUGACGCUGAGGCACGAAAGCCAGGGGAGCAAACGGGAUUAGAAACCCGAGUAGU
RNAcentral lists this ribosomal RNA (271 nucleotides) under uncultured bacterium. Its description in RNAcentral is "partial 16S ribosomal RNA". It matches the Rfam family "Bacterial small subunit ribosomal RNA", at positions 524 to 794 of the family's 1533-position model. The record is from RNAcentral.